Molecule: non-coding RNA, 362 nt
Organism: Biomphalaria pfeifferi
Lineage: Eukaryota; Metazoa; Mollusca; Gastropoda; Planorbidae
Source: the annotation of a GenBank genome assembly
AAAAUGCUGACAACAGCAUCACAUUUACAGACAGAUGAACAUCAAUGAACAAUAUGCUGACAACAGCAUCACAUAUACAGACAAACAUAUUGAACAAUAUGCUGACAACAGCAUCACAAUUACAGACAGAUGAACAUCAUUGAACAAUGUCAGCACUUACAAUCGCUCCACAAACAUAUUGAAAAACAAAAUGCAGUUGUUUUUUUCUACACACAAGAAAGCAACUAGAUUUUUAAAAAAAUAAAUACAACUGGAAUAAAUGUUAAAUUUAUGAUCUAGACUCUUUUGUCAUAAGAAUAAAUAUACAACCAAAAAUAUGUAUAAAUAGAUAACUCUUUUUUUCAAUACAUACAUCUUCUUAA